This is a long non-coding RNA of Mangifera indica (mango), 1450 nucleotides long. RefSeq lists it as uncharacterized. The transcript is spliced from 2 exons. NCBI's taxonomy places the organism in Eukaryota, Viridiplantae, Streptophyta, Magnoliopsida, Sapindales, Anacardiaceae. The record is from RefSeq and is a predicted model, not a curated record.
UAGAACUAAGUUUAUAGAAUGAAUACUGUUCCCGAGUGCAUAGGCCAAUUAGAACUAAGUCCUGUGCACUUUUAUUUCCUUAUACUUAUUUGUUAGUGUGAUUUUGACUGGUAUAGAUACAAGUUUCUUGACACCUUUGAGGUAACAAUGAGAAUUACAGGAAAAGGAAGGAUCCAUGGUUUAUAUGUGUAGGCCGUUGCAACAGUUGUAUAUCGUAUCUUAUUUCGUUUAAGGAUGGUCUGGCUUGCUUUGGUUUUAGGAAUUUAUUUAUGUAUAUAUUUGUAUAUUGUAUUUAUAAGUAUUCGACUCACUCCAGAUUUGCAUUUAUUAUAUGUCUGUUUUAGAAAUGUCUUUCUCCAUUUUUGACCAGGUUUACUUAUCAGGACUGGUGGUUGUUCUAUGAAUUUAAUUAUCGAUUUUUCUUUUUGUUUGUUUGUGCACAUGGUUGUGAAAACCCAACUAGCCGGUUGGACCGGUUUGCUUGGGAUCUGAUGGCUCAGUCGAUCCGGGUGAGCAGUCUAAUGGUGUUAGCCAUUGGACUGUUUCAAACCGGCAAUUCAACCAGGUAAGUUGUGUCUUUGUGGUCUUACUGCAGUUCAAGGCUACGUUGACGUCAGCACCCAUCAUAUCACAAAUUUGAUUUGUGGUUUACUAUAAAUAAAUGUUUAUUUAUGCAGUGUCAUUUUCCCGGUAAAAACCUAGAUCAAGCCUUUGAGUGGGUCAAGGCACAUACCGGUAACUAAAACAUUGUUUGUGCAUACAAAUCAAUACUUUGAUUGUUUAAGUAGUUUCUCCAGUUUUCACUUCUACAUGAACCAGCAUCUUGGUUCUUUCUUCUCUUUACAUUUUUUUGUUUCCUUUUUCUUUUUCCUUUUUUAAUUCACGAUUCCUCGUUUUCUUUGUUCUUGGUAGACGGAUUGAGUCUUGUCUGGUCUAUAAAUUUCAAUUUGUUAGAUUCAAUAGAAUUGCACAAGGAAAUUAGUCCCAUCAUGGCAAUCAAGGUAGAGUUUGUUUCGUGUACUCCACCUCAUUGGUUAAUAUUUUGGCCAUUUAGCUUCAUAAUGGCUAUUUUGUGCAUGUUGAGAGUACCAUUUACACAAAGUGGUGGACCAUGUUGCAAGCCACAAUUUUUGCACGGGCUACUCUGGUUGUAUUGGACUUGGUUCAACUGAAAAUUCAUGAGGUUGCAAUGGGACCAAAAAUUCUGUGACAAAGAAACGGAAGCGGUUCUUUUUCAACAAUUGAUGGUAACGUUUGUUACGUGUGCCUGUGUACACCACAAUAUAAAACAUGUUGAAAAAAGAACUGAAAACUAUACUUCUUAUUUAGGUAUGAUCUUGUAAGUAGGCCUAAGCAGGUCCGUUGUGAUAAGUUCGAAUCCAAAGUAUCUUUUUGGGACUCAGCUGUAUAUAUGCUUUUUAAAGAGGUAUAUCAGACAUUUCAAUUAAAA